CGCGGAGUAGAGCAGCCUGGUAGCUCAUCGGGCUCAUAACCCGGAAGUCAAUAGUUCAAAUCUAUUCUCCGCUA
RNAcentral lists this transfer RNA (74 nucleotides) under Leachiella pacifica. RNAcentral's name for it is "tRNA-Met". It matches the Rfam family "tRNA". From Rfam's summary of the family: Transfer RNA (tRNA) molecules are approximately 80 nucleotides in length. The record is from RNAcentral. Lineage: Eukaryota; Rhodophyta; Florideophyceae; Gigartinales; Choreocolacaceae.